UGUUUUAAGAAGGAAAACGGUGCUUUGGUGACAUUUAGUUUAGUAAAUACACAUGGCUGUUGAUUGUGUCUUUAGUGAACUAACUGUUGAGUCAGUCCUGGACAGUGAGCAUAAAGUCCUGUGGCUGUGAAAGGAUUAGUCUGAACCGUUUUCUGUGGUUGUUUCAGGAGCUUUCUGCUGAGCUGACGGUCAUGCUGCAGACUGACUGAAGCUGCAUGUGGAGCCUCUGGCCUGCAGGGGGCAGUCCUCACCUUCAGGAAGCUCCGGCUGAGUGCAGUGUAAUCCUGCUGCUGUGGAUGAGUGGAUAUGCUGCCGACUGUCCACCUGCUGGGAGCUGAUCAAUCAUCAAUACGUCCGUCUGUUUAACUUCUCAAAGCUCAGGCUGCGUCUACACAUCUCCAGUACCUUUAAUCUACUUUAUUUCUUUAGGUACUUGUUAGGCCUGUACAACUUCAAGAACCUCAAACACGUUCAGACAUUCAGUUUACAGUAAUGGACCAAUUUAUUUUGAAGUUGAUCAGAUGUGAGAAUGUUUGGAAUUUGUUGAGAAAAUGAAUCCAAAAUGUAACAUUCAACAGGACAUGAACAGAAGUUUAACUGGGAUGUAAACACUGACCCUGAGUUGUCUAAACGUCUGAAUAAAAUGUUUUCUUCCUACACCUUAA
Acanthochromis polyacanthus (spiny chromis) is the source of this 665-nucleotide long non-coding RNA. RefSeq lists it as uncharacterized. The transcript has 3 exons. The record is from RefSeq and is a predicted model, not a curated record. Lineage: Eukaryota; Metazoa; Chordata; Actinopteri; Pomacentridae.